GGGGCUAUAGCUCAGUGGCAGAGUGCUUGCCUAGCAUGUGUGAGGCAUUAGAUUCAAUCCUUAGCACCA
Molecule: transfer RNA, 69 nt
Filed under: Marmota monax (woodchuck)
Lineage: Eukaryota; Metazoa; Chordata; Mammalia; Rodentia; Sciuridae
Description: tRNA.Ala
Source: RNAcentral